UUUGAUAUGACUUGAUCUACUUCAUAAUGAUCUAUUAGAUCGGAUUGAAUUAUCUGUUUAAUAAAUAGAUUGAAUUUAGAUCUAAAUUUUUGACAUAUUUAAUAUAACAAAUUUUUGAUCCAAUUUACAUUCAAUCCAAUCAAUAUCCGACCCAACCUAACUUGAUUGCCACCUCUAAAUUAAAUCUAAGUCAUAUUACCAAGAAAUUGACUUAAAGCUGAUCCAAUCCCUUUCAUGUUAAAUUUAAUCAUCUUUAAUUUUAAUUUUACCAAUUUGUUCAAUUUUUAGUCAAACUAGGUCAACAACAAUCCAAAUAUAAAUCAUAAUAAACAUAUAAAUUGAUUAUCUAAUUAUAUCAUAAAUAUAUUGUGGAAGAUAAAUAACAAGCAAUGUGUAAAAAUUAUACAAAUAUAUUAUACAUAGAAUUUGACUGAUAAGCAUGCAUGAUUAUGAUCACUAAAAUAUUAUUGGCAAAUUAUAUUAUGAGAAAAACACUAAUUACUUAUACUUUAUGAGGG
Molecule: long non-coding RNA, 518 nt
Filed under: Elaeis guineensis (African oil palm)
Lineage: Eukaryota; Viridiplantae; Streptophyta; Magnoliopsida; Arecales; Arecaceae
Description: long non-coding RNA (EGUI_LNC002478)
Source: RNAcentral